UCUCCGUAGGUGAACCUGCGGAGGGAUCAUUAAAGAGUUCAUGCCCUACCGGGUAGAUCUCCCACCCUAUGUUAUUAUUACUUUGUUGCUUUGGCGGGCCGUUAGGCUCCGGCCCGACUACCGGCCCCGGCUGGUAAGCGCCCGCCAGAGGACCCAAAACCCUGAAUAUUAGUGUCGUCUGAGUACUAUAUAAUAGUUAAAACUUUCAACAACGGAUCUCUUGGUUCUG
RNAcentral lists this unclassified non-coding RNA (229 nucleotides) under plant metagenome. RNAcentral describes it as "partial contains small subunit ribosomal RNA, internal transcribed spacer 1, and 5.8S ribosomal RNA". The record is from RNAcentral.